This 272-nucleotide ribosomal RNA is filed under the name uncultured bacterium. Its description in RNAcentral is "partial 16S ribosomal RNA". It matches the Rfam family "Bacterial small subunit ribosomal RNA", at positions 524 to 794 of the family's 1533-position model. The record is from RNAcentral.
UACAGAGGUCCCCAAGCGUUGUUCGGAUUCACUGGGCGUAAAGGGUUCGUAGGCGGUGCGGCAAGUUGGGAGUGAAAUCUCUGGGCUUAACCCAGAGGCUGCUUCCAAAACUGCUGUGCUUGAGUGUGAGAGAGGCUCGUGGAAUUGCAGGUGUAGCGGUGAAAUGCGUAGAUAUCUGCAGGAACACCCGUGGCGAAAGCGGCGAGCUGGAUCACAACUGACGCUGAGGAACGAAAGCUAGGGGAGCAAACAGGAUUAGAAACCCUUGUAGU